This 500-nucleotide ribosomal RNA is filed under the name uncultured bacterium. RNAcentral describes it as "partial 16S ribosomal RNA". It matches the Rfam family "Bacterial small subunit ribosomal RNA", at positions 30 to 523 of the family's 1533-position model. The record is from RNAcentral.
AUUGAACGCUGGCGGCAUGCCUUACACAUGCAAGUCGAACGGCAGCACGGGCUUCGGUCUGGUGGCGAGUGGCGAACGGGUGAGUAAUGUAUCGGAACGUACCAUUGAGUGGGGGAUAACGUAGCGAAAGUUACGCUAAUACCGCAUAUUCUCUCCGGAGGAAAGCAGGGGACCGCAAGGCCUUGCGCUCUUUGAGCGGCCGAUAUCAGAUUAGCUAGUUGGUGGGGUAAAAGCUCACCAAGGCGACGAUCUGUAGCGGGUCUGAGAGGAUGAUCCGCCACACUGGAACUGAGACACGGUCCAGACUCCUACGGGAGGCAGCAGUGGGGAAUUUUGGACAAUGGGGGCAACCCUGAUCCAGCCAUGCCGCGUGAGUGAAGAAGGCCUUCGGGUUGUAAAGCUCUUUCGGCCGGGAAAAAAUCGCAUGGGCUAAUACUCUGUGUGGAUGAUGGUACCGGAAUAAGAAGCACCGGCUAACUACGUGCCAGCCGCCGCAGUAA